AAUCCACACGACUCUCGGCAACGGAUAUCUCGGCUCUCGCAUCGAUGAAGAACGUAGCGAAAUGCGUUACCUGGUGUGAAUUGCAGAAUCCCGCGAACCAUCGAGUCUUUGAACGCAAGUUGCGCCCGAGGUCUUUUGGCUGAGGGCACGCCUGCCUGGGCGUCACGC
This 168-nucleotide ribosomal RNA is filed under the name Anthoxanthum alpinum. Its description in RNAcentral is "5.8S ribosomal RNA". It matches the Rfam family "5.8S ribosomal RNA". Rfam says of the family: 5.8S ribosomal RNA (5.8S rRNA) is a component of the large subunit of the eukaryotic ribosome. It is transcribed by RNA polymerase I as part of the 45S precursor that also contains 18S and 28S rRNA. Functionally, it is thought that 5.8S rRNA may be involved in ribosome translocation. The record is from RNAcentral. Lineage: Eukaryota; Viridiplantae; Streptophyta; Magnoliopsida; Poales; Poaceae.